GACGAACGCUGGCGGCGUGCUUAACACAUGCAAGUCGGACGGAAAGGCCCUGCUUUUGUGGGGUGCUCGAGUGGCGAACGGGUGAGUAACACGUGAGUAACCUGCCCUUGACUUUGGGAUAACUUCAGGAAACUGGGGCUAAUACCGGAUAGGAGCUCCUGCUGCAUGGUGGGGGUUGGAAAGUUUCGGCGGUUGGGGAUGGACUCGCGGCUUAUCAGCUUGUUGGUGGGGUAGUGGCUUACCAAGGCUUUGACGGGUAGCCGGCCUGAGAGGGUGACCGGCCACAUUGGGACUGAGAUACGGCCCAGACUCCUACGGGAGGCAGCAGUGGGGAAUAUUGCACAAUGGGCGGAAGCCUGAUGCAGCAACGCCGCGUGCGGGAUGACGGCCUUCGGGUUGUAAACCGCUUUCGCCUGUGACGAAGCGUGAGUGACGGUAAUGGGUAAAGAAACACCGGCUAACUACGU
RNAcentral lists this ribosomal RNA (467 nucleotides) under uncultured bacterium. RNAcentral's name for it is "partial 16S ribosomal RNA". It matches the Rfam family "Bacterial small subunit ribosomal RNA", at positions 28 to 506 of the family's 1533-position model. The record is from RNAcentral.